UACGUAGGGUGCAAGCGUUAAUCGGAAUUACUGGGCGUAAAGCGUGCGCAGGCGGUUCGUCAAGUCUGAUGUGAAAGCCCCGGGCUCAACCUGGGAAUGGCAUUGGAAACUAGCGGGCUUGAGUGUGGCAGAGGGGGGUGGAAUUCCACGUGUAGCAGUGAAAUGCGUAGAGAUGUGGAGGAACACCGAUGGCGAAGGCAGCCCCCUGGGCUAACACUGACGCUCAUGCACGAAAGCGUGGGGAGCAAACAGG
This 253-nucleotide ribosomal RNA is filed under the name uncultured bacterium. RNAcentral's name for it is "partial 16S ribosomal RNA". It matches the Rfam family "Bacterial small subunit ribosomal RNA", at positions 524 to 776 of the family's 1533-position model. The record is from RNAcentral.